Molecule: ribosomal RNA, 372 nt
Filed under: uncultured organism
Description: bacterial SSU rRNA
Rfam family: Bacterial small subunit ribosomal RNA
Source: RNAcentral
CGGAGGGGGCGAGUGUUGUUCGGAAUUACUGGGCGUAAAGGGCGCGCAGGCGGCCUGGCAAGUCGAGUGUGAAAUCCCUUGGCUUAACUGAGGAAUGGCGCUCGAAACUACCUCGCUGGAGGGCGGGAGAGGGAAGUGGAACUCUCGGUGUAGGGGUGAAAUCUGUAGAUAUCGAGAGGAACACCGGUGGCGAAGGCGGCUUCCUGGCCCGUACCUGACGCUGAGGCGCGAAAGCGUGGGGAGCAAACAGGAUUAGAUACCCUGGUAGUCCACGCCCUAAACGAUGGGCACUAGGUGUGGGCGGUAUUAAUCCCGCCUGUGCCGUAGCUAACGCAUUAAGUGCCCCGCCUGGGGAGUACGGUCGCAAGGCUG